Molecule: long non-coding RNA, 609 nt
Filed under: Micromonas pusilla
Lineage: Eukaryota; Viridiplantae; Chlorophyta; Mamiellophyceae; Mamiellales; Mamiellaceae
Description: long non-coding RNA (MPUS_LNC000099)
Source: RNAcentral
GAAGGACCGAACGCGGCUGCCGCGCGCCGGCGCGUGUGGCCGGCGGGUACGUCUCGAUGGUUUCGAAAACCUCAGCGCAGCGUCUGAAGAAAUUUUUUCAACGUCGCGUCCGCUAGAUCCGUCGGCCAGAUCCUCGCGCGCGAAGGCAGCAUGGGCGACUUCUUCUCCCCCCUCGAGGAGGACAUCGUCUCGCGCGUCGAAGCCGACGAGGACGCGGAGGCGAGGGCGGAGAGAGCGCGAGCCGCGGCCGGGGACCACCCGAGGGUCUUCGCGCUGGUGCGAUCCCGAUCUGAUCCGAUCCUCGCGUCGCCGCCUCUCCCUCCGCGUCCCGACAGCCUCGCCGUCCGCCGUCCCUCCCUCCCUCCCUCCCUCCCUCGCGCCGCCCGCGACGCCAUCUCUUCCGCCACUCCACUCCGCGCGCUGACCCGACGCCGUCGCUCCGCGACCCGCGCUCCCGCAGUGGAACGCGUCCGCGCGCGCGAAGAUCGCGUCCGCGGGCGCGCUGCGACCGAACGUCCUCCUCGUCGCCGCGGGCCCGCUCGCGUGCCGACUCGUCGAGCGCGACGGCGCCGCGGCGAUCGACCUCGACCUCAAACCUCUGGGCGCGAU